Hippoglossus stenolepis (Pacific halibut) is the source of this 3784-nucleotide RNA transcript. It is a transcript of the gene named chromosome 24 C8orf74 homolog, with no coding region annotated. Lineage: Eukaryota; Metazoa; Chordata; Actinopteri; Pleuronectiformes; Pleuronectidae. The record is from RefSeq and is a predicted model, not a curated record. The transcript is spliced from 7 exons.
UUGCAGUAGAUUAAAAAAAAGUAAAAUGAAUAAUUGAUGUUAGAGUUCAGAAAUUCAAAUCAUAUGUCUUGCGUGAGGACAUUUUUCUAUCAUAGUAUCUUUCUGUGCUCCUCCACAGACCUUGUUAUAAUUUAUAACAUGAUAAAUAGCUUUGAAUAGGAGAGAAGGGGAAAUUGGCUUCUUUUAUUUUUAAAGGCAUAACCGGAAACAGUAUUAGUAAUUUGGUCUGACUUGAAAAAAGAAAGAAUCUUUGCAUUGGAGACCCCUGAGUGAUCCCUCAGCUUUAUUCCCUCCAGGACCAGAGGAAGAGGAGGAGAAGGGGGAGAAAGAGAAGAGAAGAAAAGAAAAGAGGAGAAGAAGAAGAAAAGAGGAGUAAGAGAAUAAAAGAAAAGAGGAGGAAGAGGAGGAGUGGGACUCAUGGCUAAUAGGAUUAGAGGAGCCUGAGCCAUCUGUGGCUCUGAUAAACCCAUCAGCUCCAGUAACAAACUCACCCACUACACCAGCAACAAUAACAACAUGUCAGCAACAGGUUUCUUCUAAACUCCUCAUCUUAUUAAUCCAUAAUAUUUAAUUAAAUAUCAAAUAUAUUGUUGAUUUAAUGUUUAAUUUAGUGAAAAGACACAAACUCAAUCUGAGCAAAUUUUUUCACAAGAUUUCAAAAUAAGAGUCUGAAAUUUGGUGUCAACCUUCCAUCAUCCGCCCACGUCCUGCGUGUGUGCAUCUGACGUCAUCACGUUAACACUGGCGUCCGUCUCCCAUGGCAACCACUGAGGCGCCCUCGUCAAACAUGACAGAUGGAUUUUCUUCCAGACAGUGAGAUAACACAGAUCACCAGACUGCAGAGAGAUGCUGGCGUGCAGAGGCUCAGCUGUCACUUCUCCUGGCCUGAGUUCUGUGAUGAACGCCGGCGCUUCCAUCAGGAGUUUGUGUUCGACGUCGCCGUGUUCGCCGCCGCCCGCGGCUUCCCCUGGCCUGAUGUGGUCCAGACAGCUGUGAUCGCCAAAACCAUCUUCCCACAGCUGGAUGGUCUGGACGCACCCAAACUUUUGUCCUUGCUGAGAGGUGUGAUGUCAGAGCGUUUACCGAACCUCGCCCCUGUGCACCGACACCAGUUCACCCACUUCCUCGCAGACGCCUGCCUCACUCGGCGCAGGCUUUUCCAGGCGGUGGUGAGUGGAGCAGCCGACGUGUCCGUCGCUCAGCUUCGUCUGGAGGUGCAGCUGCCGCCCACACCUCAACCUCUGGCUCAGGGCACAGAGCUGCAUGAGUGGGAGCGUCAGCGCCAGCAGACCCAGCUCAGCUCCACCCUGCGACAGAAGGAGGAGCAGCUGAGGAGCCUCCGACAUGGGCCAAGGGUCACUCUGGGGGACAUUCCUGAGGACGCGCACCUGGACAAAGAGGGCGUCUCCCAGGUGGUUCGAGCAGCCGUCAGAGCCACUGAGGGUCAGAUGCUGCAGAGUCUGAACCUGGAGGUCUCACUGCUCAGUGACAUCCUGCAGCUCAGACUGCAGCUCGCAGCCCUGGCCACCGGGGGGCUCCACAACCCUGCGCCCACCAGAACCGGUCCAGCUGCUGCAGCGAAGGGAAAAAUACAAAUAGAAAAAACUUUAGCAGGAGGGAAGUGACGUUUCAGUGACUUAAGUUUUAUUUCUUCUUUGCAUCUCUAAUCUACUUUUGAGUGUGUAGAGCAGCUAAUUCUUUAUUUAUGAGCUCCUGUGCUGUUUAGUGGUGAAACAAGGUUAUUAAUGGUUGUUAAACAUUAUUAUUAUGUUCAGAACCUGGUAAAUGAUCACAAGAGGAUUUGUGAGUGAAAAUAAAAGGAUUUAUUCAAACAAUCCUGUUGAUUUGACAGGAAAUGCUGUGAAGAAAAACUCUACAAAUAACAUCAACAUAAAGAACAUAACAAAACAUAAAACAAUAACAUUCUACACAUUUCUUUAACAGAGCAAAGUUAUUCAAACACAACUCAUAAACGUAUAUUUUUACUGUUAUUUAUUUGAAUGACCUCAUUCUUUUUGCACACCCUCUUCCUGUUAGAAUAAAACACAAAGAUUUAGUAAUUUUUAUUUAUCACAUUUCACCUUUUCUUUCCCAUCAUAUAUUGUUUCCUGCAAUAAGUGAAACAGCGCCCCCCUGUAGCGCCUCUGGAACGCACGGCUCCAGCCUGUGUGGCCAAAACUCGGCAUUACACCCUCAGCUGCGUUGACUUGAGAGGAGACAGGUGAAGUUCAUUGAAAAAAAAAAAAGACGAUGACGCGUUAAUGAAGAUGUGGAAAAACAUGGCCGAACACUUCUCUGCUGAGGAAACUCACGUGACUCACAAUUAAACGUUUUAACGACAUUAAUUUAACGUCAUGUUUUGAAUUAGUCGUCAGAAGAUGGAGAGAUUUGGUUGAUGCGAAUGAAAUGAAGCUAACAAAGAUGGAGACGGACGUGAACACAGCAACACGUGCAGCGACUUUAAUAACAACACAUGGAAACUUCCUUAACCUGGAGGGGGACGUGGAUCCAGAUUCGUGGACUUUAAACCUUUAGAAGCGGAUCAGUUUUAUGGAAUCCAGCGAGGAACAAAGGACAAAGGAGGGGCCGCCAGGGAGAGAUCCGAGGUAUCUGCGAAGACCGAGAGACGGACACGAGGAACAAAAACAGAGGAACGGGAGAAAGGGGGGAGAGAGGAGAGGCUUCUACCCAUCACUCUCUGGUCGGCAGCCAAGUGCAUGGAUGAGUCUGAAGGGAACACACGGUCUGUACACCUGUUCCAACCAGCUGGCCGUCACUACCUGUCCCAGAGGCGGCUUCGCCCUCACACACACCCACACACUCACCCCACAAAGGGGGGAAGACGUGGGUGCAUCCGAGAGUGUGAAUGGUGGAAGUAAGGCAGGGCGAUGGUGCCGAAGUGCUCUUGAGCAACAAAGAGACACUGUCCCCUUCUGGUAAACACAAAUGGUUUCAUUGUUUACAUUUGAUCCAGUUAGCUUUUGUUGUUGUAUUUCCUCUCGUCAUCUCAUACGUGGGCUUUUUUUAGCUAAUUGGUUUGUAGACGGCCAAUAAAUUGGUUUUGAUCCAUAUUACGCUGCAAUUUUCAAACACUACUCAGUUUCCACUUCUAAGAAAAGCCUCAGAAUCAAGUGUGUGUUCAUAUCAGUCACUGAGUUGUGUUUGCAUGUACAUUGGAGGCUGGAGGAGCCUGAGUUGACCUCCUACCUAAAACUAGGCCCUGAGAGACGGGGAUGGGAUCAACUUCUCGUUCCGGAAACAUUACGUACAUUUCCGAGUGGAAAAUGGAAAGAAAAAUACGGCAAAAUAGUUUUGACUGCUUGGCUGAGGUGGAAAUGUUGUUGCAUGGACGGAAGCAGAAGUGACUCGGUGAAUAUAUCAUGACGCGUGUGACUUACACGUCUGCUGAAGCGUCGGCUGAGGGAAAGCGGCGACUGUAACUUCCCUCAAAUUAACACGUGAUGACUCAGACACUUUUUUCACCUCGUUGUUUUUCACCAUUUCAGAUUUGACUGAAGCUGUUUGCACAACAGCAAUGGACAGAAAAUGCACAAUGAUUUCCCUUUUUUUCCAUGCAAACCCAACUACUGGUGUGUUGGUUCUUGUUUUACAGCAGAGGAGAACGUGCUGUGCUUGGCUGGGCUGACGUGCUCAGGGCCGACAGACAAUAGAGAAAAUAAAUAUUGCGACCCAGUGGAUUUUAAAUCAGUAAACGAGGAGAAGCUAACCAGGAGGAAAAAAAAAAAGAAGGAAAUUUCCAAAUGAAUGAAUGAACAGAUGACCC